This 253-nucleotide ribosomal RNA is filed under the name uncultured bacterium. Its description in RNAcentral is "partial 16S ribosomal RNA". It matches the Rfam family "Bacterial small subunit ribosomal RNA", at positions 524 to 776 of the family's 1533-position model. The record is from RNAcentral.
UACGAAGGGGGCUAGCGUUGUUCGGAAUUACUGGGCGUAAAGGGCGCGUAGGCGGCUUCGAUAGUCGGGCGUGAAAUGCCUGGGCUCAACCCAGGAACUGCGCUCGAAACUCCGAGGCUAGAGUGUGGGAGAGGAUAGUGGAAUUCCCAGUGUAGAGGUGAAAUUCGUAGAUAUUGGGAAGAACACCGGUGGCGAAGGCGGCGACCUGGGUCGAGACUGACGCUGAGGCGCGAAAGCGUGGGGAGCAAACAGG